GGGUUUGAAACUACUUUGAUUAUCAUUUGCUGAAAGCUCGACUGCUGCUCCGCCCUCCAAAUUAGCUACAUUUUUGUUAUACAGAAAACUGUCCAAAUCGCGGCUAUAUCCGGGAGGAUACUCACAAUUCGUCGAUCAAUCAACUUGCAUAGACCAAGGCUAUCAACAGGCCAAAGAAGAUCAAAGCUGUCCUUGUGGAUUCCAAGCUCCCAGAUUGAUGAUUUCAAGGCACAGCAAUCGAUUCUAAGGACUUUCACAAUUCCAACAAGGAUAUUCUUUCCAGGAUCGGACUUUAUAUGCUCCAGAUAUAGCCAAUUUAAUUUUAAAUAAGCCAAAAAUAUUAUUUAUGCUCUAAACUGUUUAAUU
Long non-coding RNA from Drosophila montana, 366 nucleotides. RefSeq lists it as uncharacterized. The record is from RefSeq and is a predicted model, not a curated record. NCBI's taxonomy places the organism in Eukaryota, Metazoa, Arthropoda, Insecta, Diptera, Drosophilidae. The transcript has 3 exons.